Molecule: long non-coding RNA, 210 nt
Organism: Nannospalax galili (Upper Galilee mountains blind mole rat)
Lineage: Eukaryota; Metazoa; Chordata; Mammalia; Rodentia; Spalacidae
Exons: 3
Source: RefSeq, a predicted model, not a curated record
ACUGGAUUUGCAGCAGAAACGCCCUGCUAAAGAACAAGUGUCUUGAUUCACAGCAAAGAGGACAAAGAAAAGCAGCAAGUUAGAGGGGGUUGAAUCCUGGACUGCAUCCUCUUUUGAAGUUGGCAGGGGCAACUGAACUGGUACCAUCCUGUUAGUAUCACUGUGUUCCUUUACCAGGCACUUCCGGUAGAGAGUGACUGGAAAUCCAGC